CUACGGGUCGCUGCAGUAACGAAUAUUGGGCAAUGACCGAAAGGUUGACCCAGCGACGCCGCGUGCAGGAUGAAUCCCCUCGGGGUGUAAACUGCUGUCGAGAGGAAGUAAGCGCAAGUUGAACUACUCUAAAGGAAGUCACGGCUAACUUCGUGCCAGCAGCCGCGGUAAUACGAAGGUGGCAAGCGUGUGUUCGGAAUCACUGGGCUUAAAGCGUACGCAGGCGGUUUGUUAAGCGUUCUUUGAAAUCCCCCGGCUCAACCGGGGAAUUGGGGAGCGAACUGUCAAACUUGAGGCAUUCAGGGGCGGGUGGAACUCUUCGUGGAGCGGUGGAAUGCGUAGAUAUGAAGAGGAACGCCAGAGGUGAAAACGACCCGCUGGGAAUGACCUGACGCUGAGGUACGAAAGCAUGGGUAGCGAACGGGAUUAGAUACCCGGGUAGUC
This 444-nucleotide ribosomal RNA is filed under the name uncultured bacterium. Its description in RNAcentral is "partial 16S ribosomal RNA". It matches the Rfam family "Bacterial small subunit ribosomal RNA", at positions 339 to 795 of the family's 1533-position model. The record is from RNAcentral.